This 253-nucleotide ribosomal RNA is filed under the name uncultured bacterium. RNAcentral's name for it is "partial 16S ribosomal RNA". It matches the Rfam family "Bacterial small subunit ribosomal RNA", at positions 524 to 776 of the family's 1533-position model. The record is from RNAcentral.
UACGGGGGGGGCAAGCGUUGUUCGGAAUUAUUGGGCGUAAAGAGCGUGUAGGCGGCUUUACAGGUCCGUUGUGAAAACUCGAGGCUCAACCUCGAGACGCCGGUGGAAACCGUAAAGCUAGAGUCCGGAAGAGGAGAGUGGAAUUCCUGGUGUAGCGGUGAAAUGCGCAGAUAUCAGGAGGAACACCCGUGGCGAAAGCGGCUCUCUGGGACGGUACUGACGCUGAGACGCGAAAGCGUGGGGAGCAAACAGG